This 345-nucleotide long non-coding RNA is filed under the name Carica papaya (papaya). Its description in RNAcentral is "long non-coding RNA (CPAP_LNC011609)". The record is from RNAcentral. Lineage: Eukaryota; Viridiplantae; Streptophyta; Magnoliopsida; Brassicales; Caricaceae.
UACGCUUCUCACACUAGCAAUAGUGCUCACACGCAUGGUAAACAGAGGAAAUAUCCUUAUCAUCAGUAUACAUCUCCUUGAUGUGCUUAAAACCUAAGAAUUUAGAUCUUAGAUUGGAAAGUAACGCGUAUCUUCGAGAUAAUGCAUGAAUGAUGACAUUACCCAUCCUCGGUUUAUACUUGAUCACAUACAGGAAUGACUCUAUAAACUCUAUCCGCUUACCGUGUCUACAGUUGAGCUUACCUUGGUCCUUUAUGUGCUUAAGGGACUCGUGAUCACUGUGAAUCACAAACUCCUUCAGUAGCAGAUAGUGUUGCCACGUCUCCAAGGACUUUAUCAAGGCAU